RNAcentral lists this ribosomal RNA (522 nucleotides) under uncultured bacterium. RNAcentral's name for it is "bacterial SSU rRNA". It matches the Rfam family "Bacterial small subunit ribosomal RNA", at positions 551 to 1074 of the family's 1533-position model. The record is from RNAcentral.
UAACUGGGCGUAAAGGGCACGCAGGCGGUGACUUAAGUGAGGUGUGAAAGCCCCGGGCUUAACCUGGGAAUUGCAUUUCAUACUGGGUCGCUAGAGUACUUUAGGGAGGGGUAGAAUUCCACGUGUAGCGGUGAAAUGCGUAGAGAUGUGGAGGAAUACCGAAGGCGAAGGCAGCCCCUUGGGAAUGUACUGACGCUCAUGUGCGAAAGCGUGGGGAGCAAACAGGAUUAGAUACCCUGGUAGUCCACGCUGUAAACGAUGUCGAUUUGGGGGUUGAACUUUAAGUUUGGCGCCCGUAGCUAACGUGAUAAAUCGACCGCCUGGGGAGUACGGCCGCAAGGUUAAAACUCAAAUGAAUUGACGGGGGCCCGCACAAGCGGUGGAGCAUGUGGUUUAAUUCGAUGCAACGCGAAGAACCUUACCUACUCUUGACAUCCAGAGAACAUUCCAGAGAUGGAUUGGUGCCUUCGGGAACUCUGAGACAGGUGCUGCAUGGCUGUCGUCAGCUCGUGUCGUGAGAAG